Molecule: ribosomal RNA, 302 nt
Filed under: uncultured bacterium
Lineage: Bacteria
Description: partial 16S ribosomal RNA
Rfam family: Bacterial small subunit ribosomal RNA
Source: RNAcentral
GCAGCAGCCGCGGGAAUACAGAGGGUGCGAGCGUUAAUCGGAUUUACUGGGCGUAAAGCGUGCGUAGGCGGCUUCUUAAGUCGGAUGUGAAAUCCCUGAGCUUAACUUAGGAAUUGCAUUCGAUACUGGGAAGCUAGAGUAUGGGAGAGGAUGGUAGAAUUCCAGGUGUAGCGGUGAAAUGCGUAGAGAUCUGGAGGAAUACCGAUGGCGAAGGCAGCCAUCUGGCCUAAUACUGACGCUGAGGUACGAAAGCAUGGGGAGCAAACAGGAUUAGAGACCCCGGUAGUCCCUGUCUCUUAUAC